Molecule: ribosomal RNA, 449 nt
Filed under: Veillonella parvula
Lineage: Bacteria; Bacillati; Bacillota; Negativicutes; Veillonellales; Veillonellaceae
Description: bacterial SSU rRNA
Rfam family: Bacterial small subunit ribosomal RNA
Source: RNAcentral
GACGAACGCUGGCGGCGUGCUUAACACAUGCAAGUCGAACGAAGAGCGAUGGAAGCUUGCUUCUAUCAAUCUUAGUGGCGAACGGGUGAGUAACGCGUAAUCAACCUGCCCUUCAGAGGGGGACAACAGUUGGAAACGACUGCUAAUACCGCAUACGAUCUAAUCUCGGCAUCGAGGAUAGAUGAAAGGUGGCCUCUACAUGUAAGCUAUCACUGAAGGAGGGGAUUGCGUCUGAUUAGCUAGUUGGAGGGGUAACGGCCCACCAAGGCGAUGAUCAGUAGCCGGUCUGAGAGGAUGAACGGCCACAUUGGGACUGAGACACGGCCCAGACUCCUACGGGAGGCAGCAGUGGGGAAUCUUCCGCAAUGGACGAAAGUCUGACGGAGCAACGCCGCGUGAGUGAUGACGGCCUUCGGGUUGUAAAGCUCUGUUAAUCGGGACGAAAGGCC